Molecule: ribosomal RNA, 587 nt
Filed under: uncultured Gammaproteobacteria bacterium
Lineage: Bacteria; Pseudomonadati; Pseudomonadota; Gammaproteobacteria
Description: bacterial SSU rRNA
Rfam family: Bacterial small subunit ribosomal RNA
Source: RNAcentral
AGGCAGCAGUGGGGAAUAUUGGACAAUGGGCGAAAGCCUGAUCCAGCCAUGCCGCGUGUGUGAAGAAGGUCUUCGGAUUGUAAAGCACUUUAAGUUGGGAGGAAGGGCAGUAAGUUAAUACCUUGCUGUUUUGACGUUACCGACAGAAUAAGCACCGGCUAACUUCGUGCCAGCAGCCGCGGUAAUACGAAGGGUGCAAGCGUUAAUCGGAAUUACUGGGCGUAAAGCGCGCGUAGGUGGUUUUGUAAGUUGGAGGUGAAAUCCCCCGGGCUCAACCUGGGAACUGCCUCCAAAACUGCAUGACUAGAGUACGGUAGAGGGUGGUGGAAUUUCCCUGUGUAGCGGUGAAAUGCGUAGAUAUAGGAAGGAACACCAGUGGCGAAGGCGACCACCUGGACUGAUACUGACACUGAGGUGCGAAAGCGUGGGGAGCAAACAGGAUUAGAUACCCCUGGUAGUCCACGCCGUAAACGAUGUCAACUAGCCGUUGGGUUCCCUUGAGAACUUAGUGGCGCAGCUAACGCGAUAAGUUGACCGCCUGGGGAGUANCGGCCGCAAGGUUAAAACUCAAAUGAAUUGACGGGGGC